CAACAAAACGUCGCCGACGUUUUGUGUGCAUGGUUAACACGUAGAUGAAAAGCUCUCCCUCGUCCUAGCAUGAAAUUUUUUUUUCCUUAGUAACCCCUUCUUUUUCCCAUUUCUUUGUCUUCUCUUCUCAGUUCCACUACAAAACGGCUUUCUUUCACCAUUAUCAUUUCAAAAAUGCUAGGAAACCAAGAUGGUUUCAGCCAAAAACCUGCCAACUCUUAUUGGGCUGAAAACAUGAAGCCCAAUCCACUUCAACAACAUCCCAAAUUAACCUAGGUAAACAUAAUUAACCUAACUGAACCCUCUCUUCUCCUUUCACCGUUUCACCGUAUCAGACCUCCAAAACCAUCCACGGCAGUGCCACACCACCAGGCUCAUCGCGUGGCGUUCUCCUCCGCCCUCGACGGCCGCUGCCCCUUGGUCCACAUCGUGCGGGCAACAUCAAUCCUCCAUAGCUUGCUUCAGAACGCUGCAAAGCUUCUCUCCCGUGGACUUGGUCACUGGCGCGUCAGUCGGAGUCACGCCCAUCUCCGCCGCAACGACAUCGUGCCACCCAGUUGCGAGGAACAAGACGGUUCUGCUUGUCGCCAAGAGUGCGCCGCUGCUGCUGCAUGUUGGUGUUGGCGGCGCCAUUGAAGCAUCUUUGUCCUGCUACCACGAACGCAACAGAACGCCCCCUGCCCUAGCCUCAAAACAUCCCUGACGAGAACUAAUUGUUUCCAUUAAAGGAUUCGGGGCUGUUUCUUGUGAAACCAUAAUAGGAUUGUUUUGCAGAAAAGCCAACCAACAUGGGGAAAAAGGUAAAAUGAUGUCUACCAUUCUCAUUUUAACAUUCCACAUGAUCCUAUGUGUGACUUACAACUAGUGUUACAAUUAACAGAAAUUUUUAGAGUCGCGAUGCUCGCCUAAUUACAUACAUGACAUGAUGAGCACGCUAUAUAAAAAAAACUCCGUUGAGAAGUUUGCAGAGAUUGAUGAGAUCAGAUUCGGAUUCUUGAGGCUUGUUCCGAAUUGGUCGGUAAAGCAAGCCAUCAUGGUUCACCUGGCCGAGUCGUAUCAAGUUAAGCCAAAAACUUUUAUACUCGACAUUGGCAACAUCUGCCUCAAUGCCGAGUUAAUCGGGAGGAUUUUUGGCAUUCCGUCCUGAGGCGAUCCAUUCCCAUUCCUAGAUGACAGUAAUCCGUGCCACAUGGCCAUCAAAAAGAGGUUCCAUAGACGGACAAUAACUGAACUCCAAAAUUUAGUUUACAGCUGUCCAAUGGCAACAGAAUCAGAUAGGAUGAAGUUCAGGAGAUAUUUCCUACUGGUGGUAAUGAAAAUGUUUAUGUGCCCCACCACUCAACAGGUAAUUUCACCAUGGCACAUUUACCCUGUCUUAGAUGUUUUUGAUCCACGAAGAUUCAACUAGCCGUUGCAAACUCUAAAGUGGUUCGACAAGGCAGUCGAGAAGUAUAAGCUAAAAGGGAAAAAAAUUUGUGAAAGCUGCAUGUUCGUCAUGCUGGUAGGAUGCAAUGACUAUUAGUAAAUUCAGUAUGCCAUUUUUUUAUGUAGAACAUAACUUGUAGAAAAUUAAUUUCCUAUGCAUUAGUUUCGAGAGUUCAGGCACUAGUACUGUUAUUCGUAUGAGAUAUACUGAUAUGUUGUUGAAUUACUUGAAUCUUUGUUGACUAAUUUUAGAUAUUUCAGCAUAUGAUUUCAGUUGAAUGUUUCAUGUCACUAGUUCUGAGUGCCUUGCUAUAUAUCUCUUAUAUAUGCUAGCUGAUGUUCUUCCUUGUGUAAUGGGUGUUUUGUAAGAAAA
Molecule: non-coding RNA, 1798 nt
Organism: Arachis ipaensis
Lineage: Eukaryota; Viridiplantae; Streptophyta; Magnoliopsida; Fabales; Fabaceae
Source: RefSeq, a predicted model, not a curated record